CCCGCUGAACUUAAGCAUAUCAAUAAGCGGAGGAAAAGAAACUAACAAGGAUUCCCCUAGUAACGGCGAGUGAAGCGGGAAGAGCUCAAGCUUAAAAUCUCCGUGCAAGUUUUGCACGGCGAAUUGUAGUCUAUAGAGGCGUGGUCAGCGUGGGCGCUCGGGGCAAGUUCCUUGGAAGAGGACAGCAUGGAGGGUGAUACUCCCGUUCAUCCCUGAGUUGCUCGUGCGUACGACCCGUUUUCUUUGAGUCGCGUUGUUUGGGAAUGCAGCGCAAAGUAGGUGGUAAAUUCCAUCUAAAGCUAAAUAUUGGUGCGAGACCGAUAGCGAACAAGUACCGUGAGGGAAAGAUGAAAAGAACUUUGAAAAGAGAGUUAAAGAGUACCUGAAACUGCUGAAAGGGAACCGAAUCGUUUCCAGUGUCUAUAAUCCGUGGCAUAUUUCAUUGGCGAGUGUGUGCGUGCGUGUGCUGUGGCAGCGGUCUUUAUGGCUGCGCUCGGCGUGUGUGCUGUGUGUGCUUGCUGGUGCCCUGUGCUGCGGUGGGACGUCAAGGUCAGUUCGUAUGCUGCGGGAAAUGGCUGCCGAGGAGGUAGGGCUUACGCUCCGCGUUUGUCUGUUAUAUCUUGGUGGACGAGUCGUCGCGGUUGGGACUGAGGUGCCUACAACGUGCUUUUGAGUGGGUUUGUGUCUCCGUGUGCGCCGUGUGCGGAUAGCUUGCUAUGCGUGUGUGGUUGUGUGUGGAUUGAUGCGGGCCUUAACUUGUUGCCGUUCGGGACGUUGACGAAAUGGAGCGAUCCGACCCGUCUUGAAACACGGACCAAGGAGUCUAACAUGUGUGCAAGUGUUAGGGUGUGGAAACCCCAGCGCGAAAUGAAAGUGAAGGGCAGCGCAAGUUGUCUGAGGUAGGAAACGUUGUGGGCUUCGGUCUGCGGCGUGGCACUAUCGACCGAUCAUGAACCUUCGUGGUGAAAGAUUUGAGUUUGAGCACAUAUGUUGGUACCCGAAAGAUGGUGAACUAUGCCUGAGUAGGGUGAAGCCAGGGGAAACUCUGGUGGAAGCUCGUAGCGAUUCUGACGUGCAAAUCGAUCGUCAAACUUGGGUAUAGGGGCGAAAGACUAAUCGAACCAUCUAGUAGCUGGUUCCCUCCGAAAUUUCCCUCAGGAUAGCAGCAACUUAUUUACGAUAGUUUUAUGAGGUAAAGCGAAUGAUUAGAGGAUUCGGGGAAGAAACUUCCUCGACCUAUUCUCAAACUUUAAAUCUGUAAGACCUGCAGGUUUCUUAAUUGAACUUGUGGAUGUGAAUAUCAAGUUGCUAGUGGGCCAUACGGGGUAAGCUCGUCUGGCG
RNAcentral lists this ribosomal RNA (1341 nucleotides) under Phytophthora nemorosa. RNAcentral's name for it is "eukaryotic LSU rRNA". It matches the Rfam family "Eukaryotic large subunit ribosomal RNA", at positions 24 to 1155 of the family's 3401-position model. The record is from RNAcentral. Lineage: Eukaryota; Oomycota; Peronosporomycetes; Peronosporales; Peronosporaceae.